UACGUAGGUGACAAGCGUUGUCCGGAUUUACUGGGCGUAAAGAGCGCGCAGGCGGCUGGUCAAGUCCGAUGUGAAAGCUCCCGGCUUAACUGGGAAAUUGCAUCGGAAACUGAUCGGCUGGAAGGUGGGAGAGGGUAGCGGAAUUCCCGGUGUAGUGGUGAAAUGCGUAGAUAUCGGGAGGAACACCAGUGGCGAAAGCGGCUACCUGGCCCAUUCUUGACGCUGAGGCGCGAAAGCUAGGGGAGCAAACGGG
This 253-nucleotide ribosomal RNA is filed under the name uncultured bacterium. RNAcentral's name for it is "partial 16S ribosomal RNA". It matches the Rfam family "Bacterial small subunit ribosomal RNA", at positions 524 to 776 of the family's 1533-position model. The record is from RNAcentral.